UAGGGAAUAUUGGGCAAUGGAGGCAACUCUGACCCAGCCAUGCCGCGUGAGUGAAGAAGGCCUUCGGGUUGUAAAGCUCUUUUACCAGGGACGAUAAUGACGGUACCUGGAGAAUAAGCCCCGGCAAACUUCGUGCCAGCAGCCGCGGUAAUACGAAGGGGGCUAGCGUUGUUCGGAAUUACUGGGCGUAAAGCGCACGUAGGCGGGUUGUUAAGUCAGAGGUGAAAUCCCGGAGCUCAACUUCGGAACUGCCUUUGAUACUGGCAAUCUAGAGUCCGGAAGAGGUUAGUGGAAUUCCCAGUGUAGAGGUGAAAUUCGUAGAUAUUGGGAAGAACACCAGUGGCGAAGGCGGCUAACUGGUCCGGUACCGACGCUGAGGUGCGAAAGCGUGGGGAGCAAACAGGAUUAGAUACCCGAGUAGUCCCUGAGCGGGCUGGCAAGGC
Molecule: ribosomal RNA, 443 nt
Filed under: uncultured bacterium
Lineage: Bacteria
Description: bacterial SSU rRNA
Rfam family: Bacterial small subunit ribosomal RNA
Source: RNAcentral